AUCUACUUAUGUACAACAUUGCAGAAACUCGCAUAGCGUCGAGCAAAGGAAACAUCAAACAUGUAUAGACAGACAGCAGGGUAGAGUCCAAGACCCCUUAGACUAGCCUGGAAUUGAAACCCCUCCCUAAUGAUCCUCUUUGCUCCACCUGCCUGCAAAAUGUCGUACAGAACAAUCAAUAGAAUCACAAAUUGUUAGAACCAAUUAAACAAAUUUUCGUAGAAAAUGUUGAAAAAACUAGACAAUCAUUGAAGGAUACAGAAGAACAGGAACAUCUGUUGGCCCCACUGCAACUUUCAACAUUCCCUGCCGUAUGAAAAAAACAAUUUUCUCCUAUGAGUCGCAGACAGAACAUACAAUAAUACUUGAAGAAAGGCAAACAUUUAAUUCUGGUUUAGUAGGCUUACCAUUAUAAAAACAGGAAUGUAGUUGCAGAGAGCAACUGAGAACAAUAUCAAAACCAUUUCAUAACAGCAAUCUGUUAUAUCAUGACUUCGACCUUAGAUAACCCAUUUGAUUCACAAGGUCUCGCAAUUCCUCACCCCAAUCCUCAGGUUUUGCAACCAAAUCCUCAACUUCUACAUCAAAUUCCAGUUCAUCAUCUGGGAUAACUUCUUCAUUGGGAUUGCCAGCAAUUACAUCAUCAUUCAGCAACUCCUCCCAAAUAGUCUCAUUCACAGAACCCCAAUUAUCCACGCCAGUCCCUUGUGUAGAACAUGCUAUUGGAUCCCCGACAUCACUGCUUGAUUCAUUAUCCAAGGAGAACAAUGUAUCUAUCUCCGUUUCUAUAGUUCCCAAUUCUUGAUUCGUGUAAUCCACAACUUGGCCAACACCAAUCGCCAUAGAAGCAGCUUCCUCUUGCAAAUUUUCUAAACUUGGGCUUGCCAUGAGUCUCCGCUUGCGCCCAAUUUCAACACCUCUCAGUUCUCUCCUCUGCAUACUCCUCCGAGAGAGUUGCUGGACAAAGGAUGGAUUGUUGAGAGCCUUAGCAAGGAAUGUCAUCAUCUGCUGUUGUUUUCUCUCUGUACUUUGUAACCUAUCCUCCAUUGCAGCUAUUUGUUCCCUUGACUGCUGUUGUUGAUGCCGAAGCCUCACGAUUUCUGCCAUUAGCACACUUCUAUCUCUUUUUAAUCUCUCUAGCUCACCUUCCAAUCCAAACUCUCCAACUUCAACGCAAGGUCCUUCACUUUGCUGCUGCAUACUUUGAGAAACAUGUCUUCUUCUUUUGAUGGUCUUCAGUAGAUGCUUCUGCCCUCUCAGAAACCCUUCAUUUGCAAAUUCCCAUCGAUCAGGAUCAACUUUUCUGAAUCCAUAAGUGUUAAGCUGGCGAAUGAAGCUGGAGAAGUUAUUGUGCUUGAAAUACUUAGGAAGCAGAGUAGUGGAGAAAUUAUGAGAGUCCCAAACAAUAAAGCUGUUGCGAGCUCUGCUCCAAGAAACAACGGAAUCCGUUGAAGGGUCUUCCACCAUUUCAUAAGUCUUGGUCAGAAAGGGAGGAGGACCAACUUCGUGCAGCCCCUCCAUCGGCUGCGGUUGGAAGCUUGAAGAUGAGGAAGAAGAAGAGAAACCUCCAGCACAAGUCACCGUCUCUUUCUCUUCUUUCACGACCACACCCUCCAUCGCGCUUGUUUAGUUUACGUUUCUCUAGGCGUCCUAACGAUGAUCAGAGGAUCCCAGAGGCACUCUUCACCCGAUGUCGGUUCUCGGGAGUCAGGCUUGGUAUCUUGUGCUUCUUGGUAAGAGUUCACAGAGGAAAAAGAUUGAAGCUUUGGAACAAGUGUAAAGUGUUUCUUGAUUCUGGAGAAGGGAGAGUGAGUUUAUAUGAGAAGGCAGAGGAAAGUUCUAGAAAUUGAAAAAAUCCUAAGAGAUUUGGUUGUCAGCUCUUUCGCAAGCUUGUAAGAAGUUUCUGCCAGUUGUCAAAAAAGCUGGUUUCAGACAAAAAAAUCGUGAAAGUUCUGGAAUAUGUUCAUAGAAUUGACCGAGCCACGGUGGGCCUAUUUGGUUGGUUUAUGGACAUUUCUCGUCGCCCACGUGACAGGCCCUGAUUUAGCUCACAGGAUGGGCUACGAUUGCCUAAAUGGGCUGGCUUGUUCCAAAUCUUUCGUGAAAGCCUACAUAUGAAAGCCCCAAGAACCAUGGUCCAUGGCCCAUGGCCUCAGACCAAUACAUGUAAUAGCAAGAUGAGUUAUUAGCCUGAACAUAAACUUAGGCCGAUCUUUUAUUAAAC
This 2224-nucleotide unclassified non-coding RNA is filed under the name Hevea brasiliensis (rubber tree). Lineage: Eukaryota; Viridiplantae; Streptophyta; Magnoliopsida; Malpighiales; Euphorbiaceae. The record is from RNAcentral.